Molecule: ribosomal RNA, 410 nt
Filed under: uncultured bacterium
Lineage: Bacteria
Description: bacterial SSU rRNA
Rfam family: Bacterial small subunit ribosomal RNA
Source: RNAcentral
GACGGGUGAGUAAUGCCUAGGAAUCUGCCUAUGGUGGGGGAUAAACGUUCGGAAACGGACGCUAAUACCGCAUACGUCCUACGGGAGAAANCGGGGGAUCUUCGGACCUCGCGCCAUUAGAUGAGCCUAGGUCGGAUUAGCUAGUUGGUGAGGUAAUGGCUCACCAAGGCGACGAUCCGUAACUGGUCUGAGAGGAUGAUCAGUCACACUGGAACUGAGACACGGUCCAGACUCCUACGGGAGGCAGCAGUGGGGAAUAUUGGACAAUGGGCGAAAGCCUGAUCCAGCCAUGCCGCGUGUGUGAAGAAGGUCUUCGGAUUGUAAAGCACUUUAAGUUGGGAGGAAGGGUAGUAACCUAAUACGUUGCUACUUUGACGUUACCGACAGAAUAAGCACCGGCUAACUUCGUG